Molecule: ribosomal RNA, 358 nt
Filed under: Phaeocystis cordata
Lineage: Eukaryota; Haptophyta; Phaeocystales; Phaeocystaceae
Description: SSU rRNA
Rfam family: Bacterial small subunit ribosomal RNA
Source: RNAcentral
GAUGCAAGCGUUAUCCGGAAUCAUUGGGCGUAAAGCGCCUGUAGGUUGUUUAAUAAGUCUGUUGUUAAAGACUAGGGCUCAACCCUAGGAAAGCAAUGGAAACUACUAGACUUGAGUAUGAUAGGGGUAGAGGGAAUUUCUAGUGUAGCGGUGAAAUGCGUAGAUAUUAGGAAGAACACCGGUGGCGAAGGCGCUCUACUGGAUCAUUACUGACACUCAGAGGCGAAAGCUAGGGUAGCAAAAGGGAUUAGAUACCCCUGUAGUCCUAGCCGUAAACGAUGGAUACUAGAUGUUGCGUUUAUUAUGCAGUAUCGUAGCUAACGCGUUAAGUAUCCCGCCUGGGGAGUACGCUCGCAAG